GAUGAACGCUAGCUACAGGCUUAACACAUGCAAGUCGAGGGGUAACGAGAGGAAAGCUUGCUUUCCUUGUUGACGACCGGCGCACGGGUGAGUAACGCGUAUCCAACCUGCCCCCAACUAGGGAAUAACCUUGCGAAAGUAAGACUAAUACCCUAUAAUUUCCUCAGAUGUCAUCUGACGAGGAAUAAAGAUUUAUCGGUGGUGGAUGGGGAUGCGUCUGAUUAGCUUGUUGGCGGGGUAACGGCCCACCAAGGCAACGAUCAGUAGGGGUUCUGAGAGGAAGGUCCCCCACAUUGGAACUGAGACACGGUCCAAACUCCUACGGGAGGCAGCAGUGAGGAAUAUUGGUCAAUGGGCGGAAGCCUGAACCAGCCAAGUAGCGUGCAGGAUGACGGCCCUAUGGGUUGUAAACUGCUUUUAUACAGGAAUAAAGUUAGCCACGUGUGGAUAUUUGUAGGUACUGUAUGAAUAAGGACCGGCUAAUUCCGUGCCAGCCGCCGCCGUAA
This 506-nucleotide ribosomal RNA is filed under the name uncultured bacterium. RNAcentral describes it as "partial 16S ribosomal RNA". It matches the Rfam family "Bacterial small subunit ribosomal RNA", at positions 28 to 523 of the family's 1533-position model. The record is from RNAcentral.